CUUAUUGAUUUUCUUUGCUACCACCCUCCAUACUCUCAGGAAACUGCAUUCUGAUUCUUAACAUUAUAAAUUGUUUUAGUCUGCUGUUGGAUAAACAGAAUCAUAAGUGAAUUUCUGCCUCUUGUUUAACAAUGUUUUUCAAAGUGAUCUUUGGUAUCUAUACACUUUUUUUAAGUUCAUGCUUUUAUUUUUGAAUUUUUCUUUGGAUUCUAACAUUUGUUCUUCUCACUCAUCAUCACAUCUCAGUGCUGGCCCUGUGCUAUGAGUGACAUGCCAGUGGGGAGUGUGACUGCCAUGAUUAAUAUGCUUAACCCUGAAGAGCUGCACCUGUAGUUGAUAUGAGUGAAUCUUUAUUGAAAUAUAAUUUUUCUACAAUAAAAUUGUCUAACUUUAAUCAUACAGAAGCCCAGAGCUAUCAGUUUUUCCUGAUUCAAGUAAACAGAUGCUCUUCAACAAGCCACCCUCAGUUAUACGCACCCUGA
RNAcentral lists this long non-coding RNA (482 nucleotides) under Sus scrofa (pig). Its description in RNAcentral is "lncRNA (ENSSSCG00070000469.1)". The record is from RNAcentral. Lineage: Eukaryota; Metazoa; Chordata; Mammalia; Artiodactyla; Suidae.